AAACACAGUGUUGUUUUUGUCUCUU
Molecule: small RNA, 25 nt
Filed under: Arabidopsis thaliana (thale cress)
Lineage: Eukaryota; Viridiplantae; Streptophyta; Magnoliopsida; Brassicales; Brassicaceae
Description: ATSL286420
Source: RNAcentral